AUGUGGAUCAGGCAUACGGCAAGCUGCACGGGAGAUCCUGGGAAAGGGCAGUGUAUCCAAAUGAGAGGUAAAUAUGAACAUAAGGUAAUGUAAGAACAAGAGCAACCCUUCCCCUACACUUUGAAAGAAAAAUAAUUGUAUGGGUGAUUCAAUAGCUACAAAGCUGAAGAUCUGGUGAUAGGCAGAACUCCUGAUCUGAAGGAUGUGAUAAUGCUUUUUCUAGAAGCCUGAUUAAGGAGGCACAAGAACACCCACUUCACCCACAGCCUGCAUCAUUUCCUUCCCAUGCCUUGAGCUUCCACAUCACCUACAGCCACCCAAGUUCAAGCUG
Long non-coding RNA from Pezoporus occidentalis (night parrot), 331 nucleotides. RefSeq lists it as uncharacterized. The record is from RefSeq and is a predicted model, not a curated record. NCBI's taxonomy places the organism in Eukaryota, Metazoa, Chordata, Aves, Psittaciformes, Psittacidae. The transcript is spliced from 3 exons.